UAGAGGAAGUAAAAGUCGUAACAAGGUUUCCGUAGGUGAACCUGCGGAAGGAUCAUUACCGAAUUCCAAGGAGGAAACAAGGCGGGAUUUCCAGUAUUUCCGGUAGUGCUGUUGCUGGCCUUCGGGCAUGUGCACGUCCUCCGGAGUUGUAAUGGUUGGUUCCCCUUGUUCCUCUAAUACCUCUUGAACACCUUUGUGCACCUCUUGUAGGUCUCGUCAGUGGGACCUAUGUAUUCUACAUUAAACUCGCAUGUAUACAGAAAGCUGUCUAGAAAUGAUAAUAUAAUAUAACUUUCAGCAACGGAUCUCUUGGCUCUCGCAUCGAUGAAGAACGCAGCGAAUCGCGAUAAGUAAUGUGAAUUGCAGAUUUUCCGUGAAUCAUCGAAUCUUUGAACGCACCUUGCGCUCCUCGGUAUUCCGAGGAGCAUGCCUGUUUGAGUGUCAUCGAAAUCUCAAAUCCUAGCUUUGCUUCGUCGGAGCUCGGUUUUGGACUUUGGGAGUCUGCGGGCGACCCUUUUGCCAAGGGACGUCGGCUCUCCUCAAAUGCAUUAGCGGUUGGGCGCGAGCCUUUGCACGGCACGGCCUGUUCGACGUCGUAGUGAUCGUCGCGGGCUGGAAGUGCUUGGGUCGACAUGUCUCAUGCUUCUAACUAUGCACAAGCUAUACUUAGCUAGUGAAUUAAGGCUUGACCUCAAAUCAGGUAGGACUACCCGCUGAACUUAAGCAUAUCAAUAAGCGGAGGAAAAGAAACUAACAAGGAUUCCCCUAGUAACUGCGAGUGAAGCGGGAAGAGCUCAAAUUUUGAAUCUGGCGGUCUCCGGCCGUCCGA
RNAcentral lists this unclassified non-coding RNA (829 nucleotides) under uncultured Basidiomycota. Its description in RNAcentral is "partial contains 18S rRNA, ITS1, 5.8S rRNA and ITS2". The stretch from base 290 to 444 matches the Rfam family "5.8S ribosomal RNA". Lineage: Eukaryota; Fungi; Basidiomycota. The record is from RNAcentral.